Molecule: ribosomal RNA, 468 nt
Filed under: uncultured bacterium
Lineage: Bacteria
Description: partial 16S ribosomal RNA
Rfam family: Bacterial small subunit ribosomal RNA
Source: RNAcentral
GACGAACGCUGGCGGCGUGCUUAACACAUGCAAGUCGAACGGAAAGGCCCUGAUUUUGUGGGGUGCAUGUGAGGCGAACGGGUGAGUAUCACGCGAGUAACCUGCCCUUGAAUUAGGGAUAAAACCAGGAAACUGGGGAUAAUACCGGAUAGGAGCUUCUGCUGCACGUUGGGGGUAGGUGAGUUUCGGCGGUGGGGGCUGGACUCGCGGCUUAUCAGCUUGUUGGUGGGAUAGUGCCUUACCAAGGCUAUGACGGGAAGCCGGCCUGGGAGGGUGAGCGGCGACACUGGGACUGAGGUACGGCACAGACACCUACGGGAGGCAGCAGUGGGGAAUAUUGCACGAGGGACGGAAGGCGGAUGCAGCAACUCCGCGUGUGGGAUGACGGCUUUCUAGUUAAAAACCUCUUUGGACUGUGAUGAAGCGUGAGUGACGGUAAUGAGUAAGAAAGCACCGGCUAACUACGUG